RNAcentral lists this ribosomal RNA (606 nucleotides) under uncultured Actinomycetes bacterium. RNAcentral's name for it is "bacterial SSU rRNA". It matches the Rfam family "Bacterial small subunit ribosomal RNA", at positions 224 to 823 of the family's 1533-position model. The record is from RNAcentral. Lineage: Bacteria; Bacillati; Actinomycetota; Actinomycetes.
GACGGGCCCGCGGCCGAUUAGCUUGUUGGUGAGGUAACGGCCCACCAAGGCGACGAUCGGUAGCUGGUCUGAGAGGACGAUCAGCCACACUGGGACUGAGACACGGCCCAGACUCCUACGGGAGGCAGCAGUGGGGAAUCUUGCGCAAUGGGCGAAAGCCUGACGCAGCGACGCCGCGUGGGGGAAGAAGGCCUUCGGGUUGUAAACCCCUUUCAGGAGGGACGAAGCCACUCGGGUUAAUACCCCAGAGGGUGACGGUACCUCCAGAAGAAGCCCCGGCUAACUACGUGCCAGCAGCCGCGGUAAUACGUAGGGGGCAAGCGUUGUCCGGAUUUAUUGGGCGUAAAGCGCGUGUAGGCGGCCACGCAGGUCCGCUGUGAAAACUCGAGGCUCAACCUCGAGAUGUCGGUGGAAACCGCGUGGCUAGAGUCCGGAAGAGGAGAGUGGAAUUCCCGGUGUAGCGGUGAAAUGCGCAGAUAUCGGGAAGAACACCCAUGGCGAAGGCAGCUCUCUGGGACGGUACUGACGCUGAGACGCGAAAGCGUGGGGAGCGAACAGGAUUAGAUACCCUGGUAGUCCACGCCGUAAACGAUGGAUGCUAGGUGU